UACGCAGGGUGCGAGCGUUGUCCGGAAUUAUUGGGCGUAAAGAGCUCGUAGGCGGUUUGUUGCGUCGGCCGUGAAAACCUGCAGCUUAACUGUGGGCCUGCGGCCGAUACGGGCAGACUUGAGUUCGGUAGGGGAGACUGGAAUUCCUGGUGUAGCGGUGAAAUGCGCAGAUAUCAGGAGGAACACCGGUGGCGAAGGCGGGUCUCUGGGCCGAUACUGACGCUGAGGAGCGAAAGCGUGGGGAGCGAACAGG
This 253-nucleotide ribosomal RNA is filed under the name uncultured bacterium. Its description in RNAcentral is "partial 16S ribosomal RNA". It matches the Rfam family "Bacterial small subunit ribosomal RNA", at positions 524 to 776 of the family's 1533-position model. The record is from RNAcentral.